GAAUGUCAGUCAGUUUGGCUGUGAUAUCUGUCAUCACUGCGAUUGAUUUGGCUGAUCUGGUUAGCUAGGAAAGCAUUCCCUUCUUCCUCAUCCCUCAGUGCUGGAUGAAUGAGGCUGAGCAUCCUGGGUAAAGGAAGACUUUCCUUCAAUCAAGGGUAUAAAAGUAACUAUACUCCACUGUUAAAACCUCCAAACAAUUCUCUACAAUGGAAGAGCUACCAAAAAUCAGUUUCAUUUUUACUUCUUACUUGCUGGAAGGAAAUAGU
This is a non-coding RNA of Dipodomys ordii (Ord's kangaroo rat), 266 nucleotides long. Lineage: Eukaryota; Metazoa; Chordata; Mammalia; Rodentia; Heteromyidae. The record is from Rfam.